RNAcentral lists this ribosomal RNA (493 nucleotides) under uncultured bacterium. Its description in RNAcentral is "bacterial SSU rRNA". It matches the Rfam family "Bacterial small subunit ribosomal RNA", at positions 30 to 518 of the family's 1533-position model. The record is from RNAcentral.
AUUGAACGCUGGCGGAAUGCUUUACACAUGCAAGUCGUGGGGCAGCGCGGACUUCGGUCUGGCGGCGACCGGCAAACGGGUGCGGAACACGUACGCAACCUCCCUCAGAGCGGGGAAUAGCCUCUCGAAAGAGAGAUUAAUACCCCAUAGUAUCUUGAAGACACAUGUCUAUGAGAUUAAAGCUUCGGCACUUUGAGAUGGGCGUGCGGCUGAUUAGGUAGUUGGUAGGGUAACGGCCUACCAAGCCGACGAUCAGUAGCUGAUGUGAGAGCAUGAUCAGCCACACGGGCACUGAGACACGGGCCCGACUCCUACGGGAGGCAGCAGUGAGGAAUAUUGGUCAAUGGAGGAAACUCUGAACCAGCCAUGCCGCGUGGAGGAUGAAGGUCCUCUGGAUUGUAAACUCCUUUUAAUAAAGAAGAAACCCCAUUUUUCAAAUGGGUUGACGGUACUUUAUGAAUAAGCACCGGCUAACUCCGUGCCAGCAGCCGAC